AUGCUUGCUUCGGCAGCACGUGUACUAAAAUUGAAAUGAUACAGAGAAGAUUAGCAUGGCCCCUAUGCAAGGAUGACAUGCAAAUCCAAGUACAUAUUUCACUUGUCU
Molecule: small nuclear RNA, 108 nt
Organism: Zalophus californianus (California sea lion)
Lineage: Eukaryota; Metazoa; Chordata; Mammalia; Carnivora; Otariidae
Source: Ensembl